Molecule: ribosomal RNA, 460 nt
Filed under: uncultured bacterium
Lineage: Bacteria
Description: partial 16S ribosomal RNA
Rfam family: Bacterial small subunit ribosomal RNA
Source: RNAcentral
CCUACGGGUGGCAGCAGUGAGGAAUAUUGGUCAAUGGCCGGAAGGCUGAACCAGCCAUGCCGCGUGAAGGUCAGUGCCCUAUGGGCGUUAAACUUCUUUUGUGCGGGAGCAAUAAUGGUCACGUGUGGCCAGACGAGAGUACCGUACGAAUAAGCAUCGGCUAACUCCGUGCCAGCAGCCGCGGUAAUACGGGGGAUGCAAGCGUUAUCCGGAUUUAUUGGGGUUAAAGGGUGCGUAGGCUGUGAGGUAAGUCAGCGGUGAAAUGCCCCCGCUCAACGGGGUGAAGUGCCAUUGAUACUGCCUUGUGGGAAUGCGGAUGCCGUGGGAGGAAUGUGUGGUGUAGCGGUGAAAUGCAUAGAGAUCACACAGAACACCGAUUGCGAAGGCAUCUCACGAAUCCGCGAUUGACGCUGAUGCACGAAAGCGUGGGUAUCAAACAGGAUUAGAUACCCCUGUAGUC